RNAcentral lists this ribosomal RNA (480 nucleotides) under uncultured bacterium. Its description in RNAcentral is "bacterial SSU rRNA". It matches the Rfam family "Bacterial small subunit ribosomal RNA", at positions 29 to 524 of the family's 1533-position model. The record is from RNAcentral.
AACGAACGCUGGCGGCGUGCCUAACACAUGCAAGUCGGACGAGAAAGUUCCUUUCGGGGAACGAGUACAGUGGCGCACGGGUGAGUAACACGUUGACAACCUGCCUUCCAGUCCGGGACAACCCCGCGAAAGCGAGGCUAAUACCGGAUAAUAAGCCGGGCCGCAUGGCUUGGUUUUGAAAGACUUGUCGCUGGAAGAGGGGUCUGCGGGACAUUAGCUAGUUGGCGGGGUAACGGCCCACCAAGGCUAUGAUGUCUAGCGGGUCUGAGAGGAUGAUCCGCCACACUGGAACUGAGACACGGUCCAGACUCCUACGGGAGGCAGCAGUGGGGAAUUUUGCGCAAUGGGCGAAAGCCUGACGCAGCAACGCCGCGUGGAUGAAGAAGGCCCUCGGGUCGUAAAGUCCUUUUCUGAGGGAAGAGAUCAGACGGUACCUCAGGAAUAAGCGUCGGCUAACUCUGUGCCAGCAGCCGCAGUAAC